GGCCCCCUCCAGUGUAGCCUUCCCCUUCGAGGAGUGGUCGGCCAAAACCCUAACCACUAUUUUCCCUUUAUCAAUCAUCUUCUUUAGUGCAUGCAUUUCAAGAGAUAGCAAAAGGCAUCCAUGUUAAGAACUAACUAAAGACAAUAACUUAUGGAAUGGGCUAAAAGAUCUUAAGGGUAACAUUAACUAAUAAUAGAGAUUUUUUCACAUUCUUCUAUGCAUGUAACAUAAACAUAAAGUACUAACAACUUAUCACUGUAACAUGUUGUAAUU
Molecule: long non-coding RNA, 273 nt
Filed under: Elaeis guineensis (African oil palm)
Lineage: Eukaryota; Viridiplantae; Streptophyta; Magnoliopsida; Arecales; Arecaceae
Description: long non-coding RNA (EGUI_LNC032881)
Source: RNAcentral